AUUGAACGCUGGCGGCAGGCCUAACACAUGCAAGUCGAACGAGAGGCGGACGGGUGAGUAAUGUGUGGGAAUGUAGCUUAGGGAGGGAGAUAACUAGGGGACAAUGUAGAUAAGAGCGCGAACCACAGUGUGGGCCGAAGGGGGAUUGGGUAGUUGGUGAGGUAAAGGCUCACAAAGACGACGAUCUCUAGCUGGUCUGCGAGGAGGACCAGCCACCCUGGGACUGAGACACGUCCCAGACUCCUACGGGAGGGAGCAGUGGGGAAGAUUGAGCAAGGGGGGCAACCUGACGCAGCCAUGCCGCGUGAAUGAAGAAGGCCGUCGGGUUGUAAAGUUCUUUCGGUAGAGAGGCGUUAACUACAGAAGAAGCACCGGCUAACUCCGUGCCAGCAGCCGCGGUAAUUC
This 405-nucleotide ribosomal RNA is filed under the name uncultured bacterium. RNAcentral describes it as "partial 16S ribosomal RNA". It matches the Rfam family "Bacterial small subunit ribosomal RNA", at positions 29 to 526 of the family's 1533-position model. The record is from RNAcentral.